Dioscorea cayenensis subsp. rotundata (Guinea yam) is the source of this 515-nucleotide long non-coding RNA. RefSeq lists it as uncharacterized. The record is from RefSeq and is a predicted model, not a curated record. Lineage: Eukaryota; Viridiplantae; Streptophyta; Magnoliopsida; Dioscoreales; Dioscoreaceae. The transcript has 3 exons.
CCCCUCCUCUAUCAACCCAGUAUCACAGCUUUUUGAAAAUUCUGGUCAACGAUAUGAUCAAAAGGUUCCAAACAGACCAAAUCCUCCCCCACCUGAUGUGCUACCUCCACUGCCUUCUCCUCCUCCAUUGCCUCUAUCCCAGCCACCUUCUAUACCACCUCCCCCGAGGUUUAGCCCCCACAAUCCUCAAUCUGCUCUUGAAAGUUCUAACACAAGAGCCAGUGAACAGCACCCUCAUUAUCAGUGGCAAGGUUCUCUUUCUAAGAGUGGGGUCCACUACUGUACAAUUUAUGCUGUCAGAGAGGACUCAAAUAUUUGCAAGUAUACAGUAGCUGCAUCAGAACCUGUCGACUGGCCUGCCCGAUUGGAUGUAACAAAGCGUGCAGUAUUUCAUCAUGUGAAGACAAUCUUUGCUAACACACCAUCUCACAAAGUAGUGUUUUAUAAGUCGCUGGCUUAGUUGUGCAUUGAUAUGCCAUUCUACCUGGAACCUAGUGUUUACCUUCAUAGAGGUC